Molecule: transfer RNA, 69 nt
Filed under: Paracheirodon axelrodi (cardinal tetra)
Lineage: Eukaryota; Metazoa; Chordata; Actinopteri; Characiformes; Acestrorhamphidae
Description: tRNA-Arg
Rfam family: tRNA
About the family: Transfer RNA (tRNA) molecules are approximately 80 nucleotides in length. Their secondary structure includes four short double-helical elements and three loops (D, anti-codon, and T loops).
Source: RNAcentral
AAGGCGUUAGUCUAAUAAAGACCUCUGAUUUCGGCUCAGAAAAUUAUGGUUAAAACCCAUAACCCCUUU